GUCUUUUUGGUUAUAAUUUAAAGUCGAGCCUGCUCAAUGAUUUUUAAAUAGCUGCAGUAUACUGACUGUGCAAAGGUAGCAUAAUCAUUAGUUUUUUAAUUGAAAGCUUGUAUGAACGGUUUGACGAAAAAAUGACUGUCUCUGUUUAAAUUUUUUAGAAAUUUAUUUUUAAGUGAAAAAGCUUAAAUGUUGAUUGGGGACGAGAAGACCCUAUAGAGUUUUAUAUUUUAUUUACAUUAAAGGUUAUAGAAUUGUUUAAUUUAAUUAAAUCAAGUAUUUAGUUGGGGUGAUUGGAAAAUUUAUUAAACUUUUUCUUUAUUUAAACAGUGAUUUCUGAAUAUAUGAUCUUUAAUUUAAGAUUAGAAGAUUAAAUUACCUUAGGGAUAACAGCGUAAUAUUCCCUAGAGUUCUUAUUGAAAGGGGUGUUUGCGACCUCGAUGUUGGAUUAAAAUAUGUAGGUGGUGGAGAGGCUAUUUUACUAAGUCUGUUCGACUUUUAAAAUUUUACAUGAUCUGAGUUUAGACCGGCGUGA
Molecule: ribosomal RNA, 532 nt
Filed under: Torneuma karamani
Lineage: Eukaryota; Metazoa; Arthropoda; Insecta; Coleoptera; Curculionidae
Description: partial 16S ribosomal RNA
Rfam family: Bacterial large subunit ribosomal RNA
Source: RNAcentral